This 254-nucleotide ribosomal RNA is filed under the name uncultured bacterium. RNAcentral's name for it is "partial 16S ribosomal RNA". It matches the Rfam family "Bacterial small subunit ribosomal RNA", at positions 524 to 776 of the family's 1533-position model. The record is from RNAcentral.
GACAUAGGUGGCGAACGUUAUCCGGAAUUACUGGGCGUAAAGAGUGCGUAGGUGGUUCAAUAAGUUACUGGUGGGAAAUCGGGGCUCAACCUCGUGGAAGUGAGUAAUACUAUUAAACUAGAGGGUCGGAGAGGUUAACGGAAUUCUAUGUGUAGCGGUAAAAUGCUUAAAUAUAUAGAGGAACACCAAACGGCGAAGGCAGUCAACUAUUCGAUUCCUGACGUUGAGGCACGAAAGCGUGGGGAGCAAGACGG